CUCCUAAAUGCGCUGGGCUGCACGCGCAAUACACUGACUUCGACAGCGAGCUUUUGCCUGCACCUGGACCGAAGGGUCUGGGGAAACUUUGAGCCGAAGUCGUGAUGGGGAUUGAUGCUUGAAAUUAUUCUCCAUGAACGAGGAAUAUCUUGUAGGCGCGUUUCAUCAGAACGCACCGAAUACGUCCCUGGUUCUUGUACACACCGCCCGUCGUUGCCUGUAAUGGGUUGCGAGUAGAGCCAUUUGGAGAUUGCGGGUUCGCUUGCGAUCAAAAUUUGGCAAUACUCGCAACCUAGAAGAGGCAAAAGUCGUAACA
This 316-nucleotide ribosomal RNA is filed under the name uncultured eukaryote. RNAcentral's name for it is "partial 18S ribosomal RNA". It matches the Rfam family "Eukaryotic small subunit ribosomal RNA", at positions 1470 to 1796 of the family's 1831-position model. The record is from RNAcentral.